GACGAACGCUGGCGGCGUGCUUAACACAUGCAAGUCGAACGGUAAGGCCCUUCGGGGUACACGAGUGGCGAACGGGUGAGUAACACGUGGGUGAUCUGCCCUGCACUUCGGGAUAAGCCUGGGAAACUGGGUCUAAUACCGGAUAGGACCACUGCCCGCAUGGGGGGUGGUGGAAAGCUUUUGCGGGGUGGGAUGGGCCCGCGGCCUAUCAGCUUGUUGGUGGGGUGAUGGCCUACCAAGGCGACGACGGGUAGCCGGCCUGAGAGGGUGACCGGCCACACUGGGUCUGAGAUACGGCCCAGACUCCUACGGGAGGCAGCAGUGGGGAAUAUUGCACAAUGGGCGCAAGCCUGAUGCAGCGACGCCGCGUGAGGGAUGACGGCCUUCGGGUUGUAAACCUCUUUCAGCACCGACGAAGCGCAAGUGACGGUAGGUGCAGAAGAAGGACCGGCCAACUACGUGCCAGCCGCCGCCGUAA
This 478-nucleotide ribosomal RNA is filed under the name uncultured bacterium. Its description in RNAcentral is "partial 16S ribosomal RNA". It matches the Rfam family "Bacterial small subunit ribosomal RNA", at positions 28 to 523 of the family's 1533-position model. The record is from RNAcentral.